CGGGUGAGUAACACGUGGAUAACCUACCUAUAAGACUGGGAUAACUUCGGGAAACCGGAGCUAAUACCGGAUAAUAUUUUGAACCGCAUGGUUCAAAAGCGAAAGACGGUCUUGCUGUCACUUAUAGAUGGAUCCGCGCUGCAUUAGCUAGUUGGUAAGGUAACGGCUUACCAAGGCAACGAUGCAUAGCCGACCUGAGAGGGUGAUCGGCCACACUGGAACUGAGACACGGUCCAGACUCCUACGGGAGGCAGCAGCC
RNAcentral lists this ribosomal RNA (259 nucleotides) under uncultured Staphylococcus sp. RNAcentral describes it as "partial 16S ribosomal RNA". It matches the Rfam family "Bacterial small subunit ribosomal RNA", at positions 103 to 355 of the family's 1533-position model. The record is from RNAcentral. Lineage: Bacteria; Bacillati; Bacillota; Bacilli; Caryophanales; Staphylococcaceae.